RNAcentral lists this ribosomal RNA (422 nucleotides) under uncultured bacterium. RNAcentral's name for it is "bacterial SSU rRNA". It matches the Rfam family "Bacterial small subunit ribosomal RNA", at positions 355 to 774 of the family's 1533-position model. The record is from RNAcentral.
UAAGGAAUAUUGGUCAAUGGACGCAAGUCUGAACCAGCCAUGCCGCGUGAAGGAUGAAGGUCCUCUGGAUUGUAAACUUCUUUUAUCUGGGACGAAAAAAGCUCAUUCUUGAGCACUUGACGGUACCAGAAGAAUAAGCACCGGCUAACUCCGUGCCAGCAGCCGCGGUAAUACGGAGGGUGCAAGCGUUAUCCGGAUUUACUGGGUUUAAAGGGUGCGUAGGUGGAUUUGUAAGUCAGUGGUGAAAUCUCCGAGCUUAACUCGGAAACUGCCAUUGAUACUAUAAGUCUUGAAUUAUCUGGAGGUAAGCAGAAUAUGUCAUGUAGCGGUGAAAUGCUGAGAUAUGACAUAGAACACCAGUGGCGAAGGCGACUAUCUGGACCAGCACUGACACUGAGGCACGAAAGCGUGGGGAGCAAACA